This 506-nucleotide ribosomal RNA is filed under the name uncultured bacterium. Its description in RNAcentral is "partial 16S ribosomal RNA". It matches the Rfam family "Bacterial small subunit ribosomal RNA", at positions 30 to 523 of the family's 1533-position model. The record is from RNAcentral.
AUUGAACGCUGGCGGCAGGCUUAACACAUGCAAGUCGAGCGGUAACAGAGAGAAGCUUGCUUCUCUGCCGACGAGCGGCGGACGGGUGAGUAAUGCCUAGGAAUCUGCCUAGUAGUGGGGGAUAACUUGCCGAAAGGUAAGCUAAUACCGCAUACGUCCUACGGGAGAAAGGAGGGGACCUUCGGGCCUUUCGCUAUUAGAUGAGCCUAGGUCGGAUUAGUUAGUUGGUGAGGUAAUGGCUCACCAAGUCCGCGAUCCGUAACUGGUCUGAGAGGAUGAGCAGUCACACUGGAACUGAGACACGGUCCAGACUCCUACGGGAGGCAGCAGUGGGGAAUAUUGGACAAUGGGGGGAACCCUGAUCCAGCCAUGCCGCGUGUGUGAAGAAGGUCUUAGGAUUGUAAAGCACUUUAAGUUGGGAGGAAGAGCAGUUAACUAAUAUUUGACUGUUUUGACGUUACCGACAGAAUAAGCACCGGCUAACUUCGUGCCAGCCGCCGCAGUAA